CUGAUGCGGACACAGCAGCUGUCAUCAAUAUGUUUAACACCAUGGAAUUCUGUAUGUUCCUGAAAGUGCAAUCCCGCGCCAGGUAUUCGCCUGUUACGAAAAUGAACUGUUUUGAUACAAACUCACUGUUUUAGUAUUUAUUGGAUGUAUGUAUGAACAAAAUUGAUUUUAUUUUGGAUUAUGUGACGUGCAAUUCGUAAUAACUAUUGCGAAUUUAAGACGUUUUGUACGUUCCAAGAAGUCUGUUUCCGAAGACCAUAUAAGUUUAUUUACUUUUCUUAGCGUGUUGAUAACAUUUCACACACAAAAAGUGACUGAUAUUUACCUUGACCGAAUUCUGAGGAAAGAAACAAAACAAGUCUUUAAAUGUAGUUAAUAUACAUCAUGUAUAUUCAAUUGUUUGCGUGAUUUACCGAUUAUCUCUGUUACAAUCAUCAUAUAUUUGUAAAAGAGCUUUAUAAUUACCUAACAAACGCUCACGUUACGUUACGCGAUGAGCGUGUGUUCGGCGACGGCUGCGGCGUCCUCACGACCGGGACGGAGAGAGUCUCGGAGCUCGAGCACCCGAGCAAGUACGGCAGAGCAGCACUUCUACAUUAGCAAGGGUGGCCUCAAACCCCUUGACCAAAGGAAGUACAGCACGAUUUCCACGACACGGCAUUCCUCAAGUUCAAACUUGUGCUGCGUCAUUUCCGUUCUACUUUCUUGCAUUCUGGUUGGCUGGUGCGAACUAGGACAAGAUUUUAUUGGUUGAAGCAGGACCAAUAGUAGCAAAGGGUUUAAAUUUAUAAAGGGUAUGCCACGGACAGAUGAUUCUUUAACGAAUCCAUUACUACAUUUUAUUACCCAUGGAAUGCUUUUGAAUGUGUUAAUAAUGCUAAAUGCUUACGUUGCCAUACUUUAGAACGAAUGCUUUAAACUUGAUAUAGCAUCAUAUUUUUUUUUGUUUUGAUUAUAAAUUAUGUUCCCUUUGAGUAUUACAUUGUGAUGAUACCUUAGCACUUUUCACACAAACAGUAGGGUGAUAAUGCUUUGCAGCGCUAAUGCUUGAACUGCUUUUUUUCAUAAAUGCAACAGUUGUUGUUUAUAAUGAAUAUUCGUUCUUGUAUUCAAAUGAAUCUUUUAGAACUGAUAAAGCAGUGCACAUUUACCUAAUUCCUCCGACAUUCGUCGUUGUGUUAAUUUUUUUUUCUAAAUGUCCUCUUUAUAUGGUAUAUACACAUUUAUGAACGAGAAAUCACACUGAUUUCUAGAGUUUCACGACAUGUUUUACACACAAUGUGAGAAGAAAAAUUGUACUGAACAUUAAGCAAGGUAAGACUACAUGGCUUAUAACAAAAAUCCAAUUGGUUGAACGUAACCCAAAUGUAUACGAAAAUUACCCUAACUAGGCGAAGGAUUACAGACAAAGAGAAGAAAAUGUAAACAAAAACGUAGAUCAAGUUUAUCCAGAAAGUUUGCCAAUUAUGUUUUAAUCAUAUACCGCUCAGAGCCUUUAAUUAUUGACUAUAGUCAAUAGUGUGAUAUGGUAUGACCCUUAUUUAUACAGUGUCAUUUGUUCAAAAUAAGAAAAACAGCAAUAACAAUAAGUAUUCACUUCAAAAAAGUGUAAGUUUGCCUUUUAAGAAGAUUACCCUUUCUUUCUUUUACUUUUCAAUGAUAUACGGACAUUAAUCAGUGAAAAAUCAACAGUGAAAAUAUCAAUUUCAUACAUCAAAAUAUCAAUUUGAUAUUUUCAUUUUGACUUUGUUAUAUUUUCACUGCAAGCUAGCGAGUGAAAAUUUGAACUAUUGUUAAAAUCAAGGAUAGUUACUUCCCUUGAUCAAACAUACACAACGUUUCUUUAUAAUACCAAAUUUUUAUUUUAGGCAACCUUUUCUAGUUCAGAAGAGAGAUUUUCAUUAUGCUGUUGUUCACUGAUAAAUCUCCAUAUUUUAUCGAAAAGCAUGGAAGAAAUUGUAGCAUAUGAACUUAUGCUUAUUCAAAAGUUAUUGCAUAUUUCUAAUUUUAAAUUUUGCUGGCCAUUGAUAUAUUCCUUAUUGGUAUUGCAAGCAUGGGCAUAUUUACCAAUGUUUUUGAAAUAAACUCAUUAUCAAUA
Long non-coding RNA from Mya arenaria, 2098 nucleotides. RefSeq lists it as uncharacterized. The record is from RefSeq and is a predicted model, not a curated record. The transcript has 2 exons. NCBI's taxonomy places the organism in Eukaryota, Metazoa, Mollusca, Bivalvia, Myida, Myidae.